UUUUUUUUUUUUCGGUUUGGUGAACUCGCGGUCUAGUGAUUCCUUGGUUGUGCUUGGCGAUCGAGUGACCUUGAGAGGCGAGAGAUGGUGAAGCGGUUUGAAAGAGGUCGAGUUUGGUUGCUUAAUCGAGUGAACCGGCGAUGACGAGCUUUCGUGGGGAUGAGAGCAGCGGCGAUGGAAACGAUGGAGAGGCGUUGAGAAGCGGCGAGAUCGAGUGACUACGCAAGGUCGAGUAUGUUGAGAGAUGGCGGUGAGAGCGAUGAAGCUGUGAAGGAGCAGCGGUCGAGUGAACUUGAGCUCGCGGAAGAGAAGAAACGGUGGUGUUGUCGAGUGAUGGCUGGACUUGAGAGAUGAGAGAACGAUGGCACCUUGGUCGAGUGAUGUCGUAGAUGGAGAGAUGAUGAGCUUAAAGGUGAUAAGUGUUCAACAAUGAAGAGACCGAGUGAUGGUGGAGGUCGGGUGAUGGAGGGACAAGGCGAUAGGGUCGAGUGAUGAAACGAUGAAGAAGAUGGUGAUGUGAAGCGGUCGAGUGGUAGUGGAGAGGUGAUGAGAGCUUCGGCCGAGUGAUGGUUGUGGGAUUGGCGAGGAGUGGUCGAGUGGUUUUGAGCGAGAAGUAUGGGGACGGAGAACGAGUGUUUGUUGAGCUUGAGAGUGAGAGUUGAUGAGUGAAGUGAGAGUCGAGUGGUGUUGGGAUGAAAAUAAAAGGGAGAAGUCGAGUGUUUUUUUUUUUAAGGAAGGAGAAGGCGGAGAGGUCGAGUGGAUGGGAGUUUGUUUUGUCGGUGGUGAUGAAUGAGAGUGAUGGGUCGAGUUUAUGGGGUUGUGGAGGAGAAAACGAGGCGAUGAGGUCGAGUUAAGAGGGAUGGAGGUCGAGUGAUGGCGUUGACGUCGAGUGGAGGAGAAGAGAUGAGGAGAGAUUUCCUGUCCUUUGGUCUGUUGCAUGGAGGACAUGGGCGUCAGCGGCGGGUCCCAGAAUGUCUUCUUGUCUCUUCUCUGUAUUCUCCGUUCACUAGAAAAACUCCAGGAAAUCCCGCAAUCCUCUAUAAACUUGAAAGAUUCCCUGGAAGACUUUGUAGCUUAUGUUGGUCGAGUAAAAUGAUGAUUAAA
This 1104-nucleotide small RNA is filed under the name Arabidopsis thaliana (thale cress). RNAcentral's name for it is "ATSL157980". The record is from RNAcentral. Lineage: Eukaryota; Viridiplantae; Streptophyta; Magnoliopsida; Brassicales; Brassicaceae.